RNAcentral lists this long non-coding RNA (576 nucleotides) under Phoenix dactylifera (date palm). RNAcentral describes it as "long non-coding RNA (PDAC_LNC020939)". The record is from RNAcentral. Lineage: Eukaryota; Viridiplantae; Streptophyta; Magnoliopsida; Arecales; Arecaceae.
GGGUGUUUCCCUUGCAUCGAUUUCCGUGCUCUGUUGGUGUCACAAACCAGACACAAAUGAACUUUGGGUGUUUCCCUUGCAUCAAUUUCCGUGCUCUGUUGGUGUCACAAACCAGACGCAAAUGAACUUUGAUCUGAUUGAACCAUCUUCUGACUGUGGAUUUGGUCUAGACUUGGGUUGGUCUAAUUUGAGUGUAAUCUGGUUUGUUAAGCUUGAUCUAAUCUGGGCUGAUCAGAGCUGGUUUGGUGUGGGCCGGUUUGAUCUGGACCUGUAAUCUGGUUUGGUUCAAUUGGGCCUAAUCUGUUUUGGGCCACAAUUGGCUGUGGUUUUAAAAGGUUUUUGAUUUUGGGGUUUUAGUUUAUUUGUUCUUAGGGUCUAAGUCUAAUAUUAGGGGCUCCAUUUUAGGGAUCUAUGAACUUAAGGGUUUAAGGGAUUAGAAAUAGUUUAAAUUAUGUUUCUUAGUUAAUUAAAUAAUUAAUGUUUGUGUUUUAAUCAGGGGUUCGUGAUAUCUGUGGCAGGGAUUCUUAAGCUAGCCCAGGUAGGUGACCUAUUGCUUUAAAGUAGAAUUUUAACAUG